CCGGGUUGAUCCUGCCGGACCCCGACUGUUAUCAGGGGGGGACUAAGCCAUGCGAGUCACGGUAGCAAUACGUGGCAUACGGCUCAGUAACAAGUAGUCAACAUGCCCAGGGGACGAGGAUAACCUCGGGAAACUGAGGAUAAACCUCGAUAGGCCAUGAUUUCGGGAAUGAUUCUUGGCUCAAACCUAUAUGGCCCCUGGAUUGGACUGCGGCCGAUCAGGCUGUUGGUGAGGUAAUGGCCCACCAAACCUAUUACCGGUACGGGCUCUGAGAGGAGGAGCCCGGAGAUGGGCACUGAGACAAGGGCCCAGGCCCUAUGGGGCGCAGCAGGCGUGAAACCUCUGCAAUAGGCGAAAGCUUGACAGGGUUACUCUGAGUGAUUUCCGCUAAGGGAAUCUUUUGGCACCUCUAAAAAUGGUGCAGAAUAAGGGGUGGGCAAGUCUGGUGUCAGCCGCCGCGGUAAUACCAGCACCCCGAGUGGUCGGGACGAUUAUUGGGCCUAAAGCAUCCGUAGCCGGUCCUGCAAGUCUUCCGUUAAAUCCAGCUGCUCAACAGAUGGGCUGCGGGAGAUACUACAGGGCUAGGAGGCGGGAGAGGCAAGCGGUACUUUAUGGGUAGGGGUAAAAUCCGCUGAUCCAUAGAAGACCACCAGUGGCGAAGGCGGCUUGCCAGAACGCGCUCGACGGUGAGGGAUGAAAGCUGGGGGAGCAAACCGGAUUAGAUACCCGGGUAGUCCCAGCUGUAAACGAUGCAGACUCGGUGAUGGGUUGGCCUCGCGCCUGCCCAGUGCCGCAGGGAAGCCGUUAAGUCUGCCGCCUGGGGAUUACGGUCGCAAGACUGAAACUUAAAGGAAUAAGCGGGGGAGCA
This 868-nucleotide ribosomal RNA is filed under the name uncultured archaeon. RNAcentral's name for it is "bacterial SSU rRNA". It matches the Rfam family "Archaeal small subunit ribosomal RNA", at positions 1 to 878 of the family's 1478-position model. The record is from RNAcentral.